GCGUCCAAGGCCGGAAGCGG
Molecule: unclassified non-coding RNA, 20 nt
Filed under: Chlamydomonas reinhardtii
Lineage: Eukaryota; Viridiplantae; Chlorophyta; Chlorophyceae; Chlamydomonadales; Chlamydomonadaceae
Description: small RNA Cre_1761
Source: RNAcentral